GGAGGCAAGCCUCUCACACACCAAGAACCUCCGCCACUGGUUAUGAUGAUUUCAGUUAUUCGUGUUCUGAUGCGUUCUUACAGUGCACUGAUUCGUUCUGAAUCAACUUGAUAGAUUGAGCACGGUAAUUUUAGCGGCUGCUACGAGUUUGAAGCGUCUACCUUUUGUAUCUUUCGACCGAUCAGACUUCUAGUGAUUCCAAUCCAUCAUAUCUGUCUGAUAACUUCUUCCUGCAGCAAUGGCGAGGUAGUCGAUCGAUUACUAAUUUGCUCUCUUGCUUUAUCAUGAAUGAUGGAUCAAACUAUUCAGGUAAUGCUUUUCUGUGAGAAUUCUUAGGCGCUUAUGGAGCAAACGAAAUUUGAUCAGUACGUCGAAAUUAGGGAUGUUGUCGUUGUGGUGUGGGAGGAUUCAUUGCUUUAUGCAUGAGUAGGACCGAUUUUUGUGUUUCAGUGGCCAUAGUUUUCUUACAUUAUCAUGUUAUUUCAUAAAUAGGAUGAAACGAUUAGAAAAGUAUAUACCGUUAGAAGUAUUUACAUCUUGUUGUAUAAAUUGAAGGAUCUUAAUUGCAGUAUUAACAAUGGUAUGGGGAUUAGUUUUUUAUUUUAUGAAAACAUCGUUCUGGAAAUUGAUGGAAUCUAAUGAUUCCUGGUGGAUUACAAGGUCUUCCUCAGGUUAGUAGAAUUGCUAAUUUGAAGUCAUAGUGUCCAUGUUACUGUAAGUUGAUAUAUAUUUGAAUUGUUAUUAAGUAAAUUUUCAUUCCCUUGUCAUGUUUCUUUUAAUUUGCAUCUGAUGGGUUGAGCCGCAUAAACUUUGACCACAGGCCGUAGCUGAUCAGGUCCUGAAUUAUUAGAUGCGUUUAGGAUUACCCUUCCACCUUUGAUGUUUUUUGCUGCAAAAAGGCAAUUUGUCUACUAUUUAUUUUCUUUAUGGUUACAUUGUUACGUUACAGGAACUGCAUUGAAGACAUUGAUAUUAUCUGUUAAAGAGAAAGCAUAAAGAAAUUCAUGACAGAUAAAUUUAUAAUAUUUUACUUAUAGUAUUUUACAGUUGCAUGCAGACUGAAGAAUUGAUAAAAUGAGGGGCUCCCUGUAUUCAAAAUCGUCAUUGAGUACAAAACUCGUACAUGUGGCAACAGUCAGGAAGAGUAAUAAAUGAAAGACAGAAAAUGCAUCAGUAAGAAGAAAAUCGUAUUGGCCAUUUGCUGCUGUUGGAUCCUACAAGUGCAUGCAUAAGCUGUCCACCCAUUCAUCUCUCCAAUAUUACAGUUCACGAGAUCAUCAGAGCUUAAAGAUAUAACGUUUUCUGUGCAACAGAUUACCUCCAACAUGCAGUAUUUCCUGUGCUCUUAUCCCCUUUCUAUUAAUUGUCCAUGCUGCAAAAACGGCUGUUCUUCAUCUGUAGGAAGGCACAGCGAAAAGUUACACAAUAAUUUGUGAUUGUGAUAUACAUUUCUGCUUAAUCCUUAAAACAUUAUGGUGACCGUGAUCACCAAUUGUGCAAACAAUCCUCAUUGAAA
Molecule: non-coding RNA, 1516 nt
Organism: Vigna umbellata (rice bean)
Lineage: Eukaryota; Viridiplantae; Streptophyta; Magnoliopsida; Fabales; Fabaceae
Source: RefSeq, a predicted model, not a curated record